GACGAACGCUGGCGGCGUGCCUAAUACAUGCAAGUAGAACGCUGAAGGAGGAGCUUGCUUCUCCGGAUGAGUUGCGAACGGGUGAGUAACGCGUAGGUAACCUGCCUGGUAGCGGGGGAUAACUAUUGGAAACGAUAGCUAAUACCGCAUAACAGUAGAUAUUGCAUGAUAUCUGCUUGAAAGGUGCAAUUGCAUCACUACCAGAUGGACCUGCGUUGUAUUAGCUAGUUGGUGGGGUAACGGCUCACCAAGGCGACGAUACAUAGCCGACCUGAGAGGGUGAUCGGCCACACUGGGACUGAGACACGGCCCAGACUCCUACGGGAGGCAGCAGUAGGGAAUCUUCGGCAAUGAACGGAAGUCUGACCGAGCAACGCCGCGUGAGUGAAGAAGGUUUUCGGAUCGUAAAGCUCUGUUGUAAGAGAAGAACGAGUGUGAGAGUGGAAAGUUCACACUGUGACGGUAUCUUACCAGAAAGGGACGGCUAACUACGUG
This 495-nucleotide ribosomal RNA is filed under the name uncultured bacterium. RNAcentral's name for it is "partial 16S ribosomal RNA". It matches the Rfam family "Bacterial small subunit ribosomal RNA", at positions 28 to 507 of the family's 1533-position model. The record is from RNAcentral.